Molecule: non-coding RNA, 596 nt
Organism: Triticum urartu
Lineage: Eukaryota; Viridiplantae; Streptophyta; Magnoliopsida; Poales; Poaceae
Source: RefSeq, a predicted model, not a curated record
GUGGUGGUGGAGCGGCGGAUGACGAGGCUCGCCGCCAAGCUAGACAGUAUGGCGCUGUGCUGAGCCGUGCGCGGGCACGGCGGGGGGGUGGCGGCGCGGCGGGUGCAGCGGGGCGUAGUGACCAAGGUGAGCCGACUGCUCGUGGGGUCCGUUGGUGUGCGGUGUGCCCUGUUUCCGCCGUCAAUGCGCUCGUCCGCUCUGACGGACUUGAGCUUCUCCUGCAACUCCAUAAGCUCGUGGCGCGUUAUCGACCUGGCAGCCGGCGCAUAUGGAGUCCCCGUAUGCAAGUAUAAGCAGGGGGGUGAAUUACAUUGUGUAGUUGCUCAGACAUCCAAGGCAAAUCAUAAUUUUGGAUGCAUAUUUUGUCCUACAAUAGUGCUUUUUUGCUAAAGAUCUUACACAAGUCUGAAUAAUACACUUUUUGUUGUACAAGGUAUAUAACUGAAUAUCCUGCGUGUUAUAUGAGCGUGUGGUUGACUACAUAAGUGCAUGAUCCCCGUAGUGUUAAUUUAGGUGCAGAUGAUGGCAGAUUCGAGUCUAAAACUUAUGUUUUAGUACUACAUCUAUAUAAUAGCCACAACAACUUCAUUAUGUUU